GACGAACGCUGGCGGCGUGCUUAACACAUGCAAGUCGAACGGAAAGGCCCUGCUUUUGUGGGGUGCUCGAGUGGCGAACGGGUGAGUAACACGUGAGUAACCUGCCCUUGACUUUGGGAUAACUUCAGGAAACUGGGGCUAAUACCGGAUAGGAGCUCCUGCUGCAUGGUGGGGGUUGGAAAGUUUCGGCGGUUGGGGAUGGACUCGCGGCUUAUCAGCUUGUUGGUGGGGUAGUGGCUUACCAAGGCUUUGACGGGUAGCCGGCCUGAGAGGGUGACCGGCCACAUUGGGACUGAGAUACGGCCCAGACUCCUACGGGAGGCAGCAGUGGGGAAUAUUGCAAAAUGGGCGGAAGCCUGAUGCAGCAACGCCGCGUGCGGGAUGACGGCCUUCGGGUUGUAAACCGCUUUCGCCUGUGACGAAGCGUGAGUGACGGUAACGGGUAAAGAAGCACCGGCUAACUACGUG
Molecule: ribosomal RNA, 468 nt
Filed under: uncultured bacterium
Lineage: Bacteria
Description: partial 16S ribosomal RNA
Rfam family: Bacterial small subunit ribosomal RNA
Source: RNAcentral